Oncorhynchus nerka (sockeye salmon) is the source of this 3820-nucleotide RNA transcript. It is a transcript of the gene named guanylate-binding protein 3-like, with no coding region annotated. The transcript has 6 exons. The record is from RefSeq and is a predicted model, not a curated record. NCBI's taxonomy places the organism in Eukaryota, Metazoa, Chordata, Actinopteri, Salmoniformes, Salmonidae.
CAAGCCAAUGACUACUAAUUGCACCAGUGUUGAAAAUAAAAACAGAAAAACCAACCAAAUAGGCCUACAGACCAGCAUGCUUAAAACGAGCUAAUAAAACAUCCUUGUGGAUAUUGUUUCAGAUGACCACUUACAUGAGGACAAAACCAGCAGACAACAGAUUGAAUAUUUCUGGGAGCUGUAGGCUAAUCAUCCUGUGAAGUCACACCAUGGAUUUCCCAAUAUGCCUGGUCGAAAACGCAGACGGCGAGCUUCAUGUAGUUCCUGGUGCCAUCAAGUACCUGAUGGGACUGAACCAGCAUGUGGUAGUGGUGGCGGUGGUCGGGCUGUACCGUACCGGCAAGUCCUACCUCAUGAACAAGCUGUCUGGAAAGAGAAAAGGUUUUGCCCUGGGAGCCACUAUCCAAUCCAAGACUAAAGGAAUCUGGAUAUGGUGUGUGCCUCACCCUGAAAAGAGAGACCACACCCUGGUGCUGCUGGAUACAGAGGGGAUGGGAGAAGGUGGCCAUUUCAAAGCACUACGAUGACCUUCUCUGAGGCAUCCUCGUUCUUGAUGAGAAGAAGUGUGCAGCCCUUCUGGAGAAGCUGUCUGCUCAGAUGGCCAAGAAGAUUACAGAGGGGAUCUACGAGCUUUACUGCAAUCACCAUGAGAACAUGCUGGCACAGUACCGGGCCAAGCCCGACAAAGGAGUUGGGAAGAAGGAGGGAUCAGCUGUGCUGGAGCAGGAGAAGAAGGCUGUUGGAGAGGAGGACGAUCGCAGAAGCAAAGACGAGAAGUUGAAGUGUUACGCCCCUGAAAACAGGGGAGAAAUAAUCACGAGAGUGAUACGGUGUUGUAUUCUCAAUUCAACUUUUUUGUUCAACGAGAAAAGACCGCGAUUUUCCCCAGGAAUAUGGGUGGAGACCAGAGCAAUCGAUCUCCGGCUCAUAGAUUAAGAGCAUUUCGUAGAUCACAGAUUAACACUUUUAGGCACCACAAAAUAAAGUAAUCAAUAUAACGUUUACACAUUACUCUCACAAUUCGUACCCUUUGACAGAUUUGAACUUUAACACAAUUAUAUGAAUGUUAUCAAUCUCUAUCAACUAACACUGAAUGCAUCUUUUUAACCUUAGAUGUUUUAAGAUCCUCACAUACUAUGAACUUACUAAUACUUUUUAAUGUAUAACAGGCUAUGAAUAUUUCCUUUAACUUGUCACAGAAGCAGAUGGAAGAUGAAGGAGGAUUUGAAGCAACAGGAACGGGACUUCCACAGGGCCUUGGAGUGCAAGAUACAGGAGCAGAAGGAUCUGCUGGAGAAGGGCCACAAGGAGAAGGCUGACUUAAUGAGACAGGAGAUAGAGGAGUUCAAGAAUAGCAACAAACCUGAGAAGGAAGGAUGUGGUUGCCUUGAGUCUACAGUCAUGCCUGUUCUUUGAUUUGGAUUGGAUGCUGCCAACACUUUCUUUCAAUAUACGCUCAUGAAGGCUAAGAUGGUCCAGGAGGCGAAGGAGGAGCCACAGGAGUUGGAGCGAGCACUAGAUAGCAAGCUCCAUGAGCAGGAAAAGCUGAUGGCUAAUGGCUUCACAUAGAAAGAGGCAGCCAUGAAUGAGGAGAUACAGAGCCUGAGAGAGAAGGAGGAGGCCAAGCGCGAGGAGAAGGAAGAGCAGUCUCGUAACUUCAGAGCCAUAGCACAGGGUGUCAUGGAGAGUGUCAGCAAUGGCUUAGGUCACUACUUUAACUAUAAGAAAGCCUGUGAGCAACGCAAGGCGAUUGUGUUCAAGGAGAACAUGACACUCAAGCAAGACGGCCACACCCAAACUCAAAACAGGAGCAGAUGGCAACUCUAAAGACACAACUCUGCCCAAAGUCAACACAGGUACAACUGACAAAAGCCCUGGCUCAGAGGUCUAAAGGAUUCACCAGAGAUUGGUCAAUGGUCCAGAUCAGCAGCCACACCUUUCUCCAGUCUCCAGCCAUUUGCAUUGUGUGCCCCCCCCUGCUACUCUCUGAUCAUCAUAUAUGCAUAGUCACUUUAACCAUGCCUACAUGUACAUACUACCUCAAUAAGCCUGAUUAACCGGUGUCUGUAUAUAGCCUUGCUACUGUUAUUGUCAAAAUUGUGUUUUUACUGUUUUUAUUUCUUUACUUACCUACACACUUUUGUUGCACUAUUGUUUAGAGCCUUUAAGUAAGCAUUUCACUGUAAGGUCUACUACACCUGUUGUUUUUGGCGUACAUGACAAAUAAUCUUUGAUUUGAUAACUUUUCACAUUUUCUCUGAUAGGGUUAAGGAUAGGAUAAAGCUAAACUUGUUUUAAUAGAGAUAUUGAUCAAUGGGGAGAACUGAUGAGCUGAACACCACCAGCUGAAUCUCUACAUGGAAACAUAAGCCCAAGCAUUCACAUGAAAAAGAGACAUCCUGUCUUUCAGUCACCUCAUAUCAAUUUAAUCAAAUACAAACAUGAGUACAUCAGCAGCAGGACAACAAGAGGAACUGUAAUUACGGAAUGAUAUGUACACAUCUCUACUCAGGAUGACCUGUACCCAGAUCAGCUUUUGAUCCAAGAUGAGACAUGCAGUAAUGAUACUCCUAUAGGACUAAUGAUCUUCAUUAAUCUGCUGCUUGGACACACCACGCACAUCAAGACCUGAGGGGAAUGUCACAAAGGAGGAUCAAGGAGUUAUCCACCUUACUUUGACAAACAGAUCAGGAGUCACACACACACACAGUACAGCCACCUGUGAGCAUCAUACAACACCACACAGAAGCACUAGCCUGGGAACAAGACAGCUCCUGUAUUAACAACAUUGUUGCCAAUGACAAAACGUUGACAUAAGCAGAAAAACAGACUGGUAUCCAGGCUACAAAACACACCUAAUAAUAUCAUGAUCAAGUUAUUUCAAAUCCUAAGGCAGUCAUUCAGAUAAUGUAAAUCAGUAUUGCUGUAUGAAUCAGCAUGGAACUCACAUUUUUACUGCUAACAAUGAUAACAAAUAUUGUUCUUUACUGUACAGAGGGCAUUAAAUGAGGACACGAAUAGGGAUAGUAUAAUUAUUCAAUCCAGUGAUCGACUACCUCUGUAAAUAGCACUAUAGCCUGAGAGCCAUUCUCCACCAGUAGAUAUGCAUUAGCCUAGGCCCAAGAUGUGUGGCUUCACUGAUUAUUAAAACAACAUGCUAGUACUUGUGAAAAAUGACAAUGGGUAAUUAGGUUUUAUAUCCCAAAUAUCAACAUGCAGACAGAUUGUUGUUUUACAAUCGUGGUUCUGUCUAAAAACAAAUCCAAAAGCAAAUCCAGUGCAUGAACUUAACUUGAACUAUAUUAUAUCCAUAAUAACCAUCAAUACAAUUUGAGAAUGAACUUUACACGUGUGGUGUAGUAGGCUACAUGAGAGAUGUCUAGCUUUGAGGCACCAGUAACACACAGCAAUAAAUAAACUCAUAACACAAAUACAUUUGACACACAGCCACUAACAUAUCACCAGUCUGUUAUACGUACGCAAUAGAAAAAUCUAAUAUUUUCAGACUUCAACCAUAUGUCAUUUGUAGAUAACAACAUAUUGUAAGUGUAUGCAUUGGACAAAAAGUGCUUAGCUAUGAUUUUGUUCUCUUAGAAAUCAAACCGUAACAAUUGAAGUGCAAAGAAACUAGAGAUGACACGUGGUGAAUAAUGUUUUGGUCCACCACCAAAGUCCAGAGAGUCGUAGGUGACAUUUCAAUAACUCUACAAUAGAGUAAAAAUAAAUCAUAAAAAGAUGAUUGGAAUUAACUUGUUCUUUAUGAUUUAUCAUUUCAAUUGGCAAGCCUAAUCAAGAACUUCAGUUAGCAAAUCAAUAUUAA